Molecule: ribosomal RNA, 333 nt
Filed under: uncultured bacterium
Lineage: Bacteria
Description: bacterial SSU rRNA
Rfam family: Bacterial small subunit ribosomal RNA
Source: RNAcentral
CGGGUUUAAAAACCGUAAACCGGGUUUACGGGUAAACGGGUUUACGGGUAAACCCCCGUUUUACGGUACCCCGUUUUUUAACGGUAACCGUUACGGGUAAACCGUAAAACCGUUUUAAACCCGCGUAAAGGUGAGCUAAUGCCGGAUGAGUUAUAUAAGUGCAUGUUUAUAUAGGAAAAGUUGGGGAGACCUGACGCUGAAAGAUGGACUCGCGUCCCAUUAGCUAGUUGGUAGGGUAAUGGCCUACCAAGGCGACGAUGGGUAGCCGGCCUGAGAGGGUGGCCGGCCACACUGGGACUGAGACACGGCCCAGACUCCUACGGGAGGCAGCAG